GAUGAACGCUCGCUACAGGCUUAACACAUGCAAGUCGAGGGGAAACGACAUCGAAAGCUUGCUUUUGAUGGGCGUCGACCGGCGCACGGGUGAGUAACGCGUAUCCAACCUGCCCACCACUUGGGGAUAACCUUGCGAAAGUAAGACUAAUACCCAAUGAUAUCCCACGAAGACAUCUGAAUGGGAUUAAAGAUUUAUCGGUGAUGGAUGGGGAUGCGUCUGAUUAGCUUGUUGGCGGGGUAACGGCCCACCAAGGCAACGAUCAGUAGGGGUUCUGAGAGGAAGGUCCCCCACAUUGGAACUGAGACACGGUCCAAACUCCUACGGGAGGCAGCAGUGAGGAAUAUUGGUCAAUGGGCGAGAGCCUGAACCAGCCAAGUAGCGUGCAGGAAGACGGCCCUAUGGGUGGUAAACUGCUUUUAUAAGGGAAUAAAGUGGGUCACGUGUGACUUUUUGCAUGUACCUUAUGAAUAAGGACCGGCUAAUUCCGUG
Molecule: ribosomal RNA, 492 nt
Filed under: uncultured bacterium
Lineage: Bacteria
Description: partial 16S ribosomal RNA
Rfam family: Bacterial small subunit ribosomal RNA
Source: RNAcentral